ACAAACCGAAACCACUUUGUCGCCGGGAACUACGAACGCCGCGAACCACCGUCCACCACCACCGGAGCCGCCGUCUGCAACCACCGCACCACCACCUUCACCGUCGUCCGCCCGGGUAAUUCUCUUGUGCACACUCUUGGGAAAUCCUUGAUUCUUAAUCUUAUUCCAAGAAAUACGCAACGCACUCUAAGGAUGAGGAAGUCAAGAUUGGAAGAAAUAAAUAGGAUGGCUUAGAAACCCACCUAGAAAUAAAUCAUGUUUUAUGUUUGUAUUUUCUCUUUAUGACAUUUUUUGUACGUCUCAUCCCGAUGUUUCCGCCAUCGGUUGGGGUGUGA
RNAcentral lists this long non-coding RNA (335 nucleotides) under Helianthus annuus (common sunflower). RNAcentral describes it as "sRNA HanXRQr2_Chr13g0613791". The record is from RNAcentral. Lineage: Eukaryota; Viridiplantae; Streptophyta; Magnoliopsida; Asterales; Asteraceae.